GAUUUCUGACCUGAAACAUUUUGCCGGCCACGGUUUCGUGUGUUAGUGCAUUGUGUUCUGGUCAUCCUUCCAAUCGCUAUUCGGUUUUCUUCAUUGAUUAUCGAGUGGUAUUGGAUCUUUUACUUUGAAAAAAUUAGAGUGUUUCAAGCAGGCUUUAUGCUAUGAAUACAUUAGCAUGGAAUAAUAAUUUAGGACUUCGGUUCUAUUUUGUUGGUUUCUAGGACUGAAGUAAUGAUUGAUAGGGAUAGUUGGGGGUGCUAGUAUUCAGCGGCCAGAGGUGAAAUUCUCGGAUUCGCUGAAGACUAACUUAUGCGAAAGCAUU
Molecule: ribosomal RNA, 322 nt
Filed under: Bodomorpha sp.
Lineage: Eukaryota; Cercozoa; Glissomonadida; Viridiraptoridae
Description: SSU rRNA
Rfam family: Eukaryotic small subunit ribosomal RNA (bases 112-322)
Source: RNAcentral